AUAUUUUAUCUCAUGACCUAACUCCUUAAAAAGCUAAAUCCCAUAUUCUGCAUAUAUAGGACACUUAACAAAUAUUGAUGUAAAUCUGAAUGAGAGAAAGAGGCUAAGUGGCACAAAAUGUUUUUCUUUGAUGAGGGGAGUAGAAGAUUGUUUUGUUUUUUUGUUUUGAAUUUUGUCUAUAGGAAGCAAAUUAUUGGUCCUAAAAUAUACUUCCCACUCUUAUGUAACUUACAACAAAGCUCCAAAUGAAAUGCAGUAUUGUACUUCCUACAUUGAUUAAAUGGCUAAAAGCAGGAAUUAAGCCAUUUAAAACUUUUACAUAAGUAGGACUAGAAGACAGCACAGUAGAGAGAAAAUAAUGCUGAACUGGGAAUUAUGAGAACCUCAGUUUUAUCUUAUUCUGUGCAAACAUAGGAAAGUCACUUCAUUAUUUGCACCUCAAUUUCCUCUGUAUAAUGGGAAAAUUGGACUGUAUAACCUCUGAGGUCUUUUUCUGGCAUAUGGUAUAUAUGAGGGCAGGGAAAGGAAUGAUCAGAGAGAAAAGUAUAGGCAGGGUACUGGAGACAUUGACUAGACACAGGGACUCAACAAAUGGCUAAUCCACAGAGGCGAUGAUUUCUCUGGGGCAUAAAUUCCUUUUCCCAUCUUUACCUCCACCUUGACACUUUUCAGAUUCAGCUCCUUUUCUGAAAUUUCUCACUCCCUCUCUUUUCUUACCAGAAUAGUUGAGACUCCUAUGUGAUGGAUAAAACAAGAGGAUUUAAAUAUAGCAAUAAUCAGAAUUUAAAACAUCAAUUUCUUUGGGGGUUUUUUUGCUCUCUAAAAAAUAAAAAUCCCUCUUAUGACAGAUCAGCUUUACCUAUCACCUUCCUGCACUUGGGGAGACAUAAUAAACAUAUUUUUCUUUAAAAUGGCAUGAAAACAAACCAUUUCUACUCUUAAAAUUAUAUAAGCAUGCAUAUGCCUAUUCAAUUUGAUAUUAGAAGGAGGAAUUGUCCUAUAUCUUGGGGAGUGAAAGAAGAUAAUGAGUUUAGCUUGGUAUAAAUAAUGUUUGAGACACAGUUCUGUUCUCCUUCCUAUAAAUACAGACUAUAAAUCUUAUUAAUCAAACUUCAUUUUCUCUCUUUGUGAAUGUAAGAUUUUAAUUGUUCUAAUCCCUUCCCUGUUGAUUUCUUGCUACAAUUUCACACAGCAGCAGGUCACCUCUUUCUUUUUUCAGAAAUACAUUAGCACAGUGCCAUAGUCCUAAAUAAUAUAUUUUUUAAUUGAGUGGAGGGGAAAAAAAGAGGAACUCAACUCUGAAGUUCAGGGACCUAAAAAUAGUCUUCCCAAGAGGACACACAUUUACUUUUUGGAAGCCAAUGUUAAUUAGCUUUGGCCUUCACAACAGAGGGAAAAAAACUCUAUAUUCCAUUUUUAGGAAUCCCUAUCUACAAAGAGUCAAUGUAUUGACUAGAGAAUACUAUUUAUCUUUAACUAAUAUUAAAAAAUUCAGAAGGAAAUUUUUUUACUGCUUGGCCACUGGAAGUCCAUAUUUAAUACACAUAUAUAACUAUAAAGGACUAUUUUCUACAAUAUGGUACAUGUGAAAAAUGCUUUGACUGAGAUUCCAGCUGAUAACUGUGUGAUUCUGAGUAAACUACUUCAUUCCUUUGGGCCUCAUUUUUCUCAUCGGUAAACAGUUGUAAAAUAGUUGAGGAUUCUCUUAGUGAAAGCAUUUUAUAAUCUUAUAAAAUGAAUUUUUAAAUUAAUCUUAAAAAUAUAUAUACUUUUCAUGUGUCCCAUUAAAAAUCUGGAGGUAUGUAAAGCUGUGCUGUACAACAGAGUAGCCACUAGCCAAAUGGGGCAAUCUUAAUUUAAAGUGAUUAUGUAUAAAAUAAUAUAAAUUCAGUUCUUUAGUUGCACUAGCUACACUUCAUAUGCUCAGAAAACCAUAUGUAGCUAAUGAAUACUGUACCAGACAAAACAUAUAUAGAAUAUUUCCAUCACCACAGAAAGUUCUAUUUAUUAGUGCUGAUAUGAAGGGACAGAAAAAAAGUACUGUGAUGUAUUAUCCUUAUACAGCCCUAAAAUAAAAGUUUCUUUCAUUCUUUCAACUGAUUAUUCCAGUAGAUUUCAAUCUUACAUAUCUUUGAAUUUAGUUUUUAACCAAUUAUAAAUAUGCCUGCUUUUUGCCAUUAACCAACUAGCUUUCUUAUUAUUCAUAAGAAUGUCAUGAGAGAUAUUAUGAAAUGCCUUGCUGAAAUCCAAGUGCCCAAUGUCUGUUGUAAUGGACAUCCAUAACUCCACCAAAGGAAAUAAAUAGAGGUUAGAGGGCUCUUCUGUCAUGGCCACUUAUUAUUAAACUCAUGCCAGUCCCUCAUGCCGUAUUUUCUAAACACGAACAAACCAUUAGUAAAAUUACAUCUUCUAUAAUCUCACCUGCAAUCAGUGCCCUGCUGAUAUCAAUCUCCUUUUAAAAAAAGCAGAACUAUAGAUGCUUCUCCUCCAUUUCUAAGGUCUCUCUUCUGUCCAGCACUCCUCACAGAUUAUUGACAAUAGUCUAGUCAUUUCUUCGUACCCACAGAUGUAAUUUUGAUCUCCUAGAUAAUUUUAAACUCAGUUAAAAUAAAGUGUUCCCUGUGGAUUUCAGAUUUCUUCUCCAUGAAUGUUCUACUUACUCAAGUUUGAAAAUAAUAUUCUGACAGUUUUUCUCUUCCCUCUGUUAGUUUAGCAUUUUCUAUUUUGCCUGCAAGUUUCACACCAUUAGAGCACCCUUCCUUACUUUUCUUUCUCCCAAACUAUAAAUAGAAUCAUAUUCAUCUUAUCCUUCAAAUUUUUAACAGAUUUCAAUAAAUCUUAUUCUCUAGCCUAUCUGCCAGACUCAUUUUAUUCACCCUUAGUUAGUAAGCUUCAACAGAAGUUUAAGAAUAAAGGGACUCAGGAGUUCCCAUUGUGGUGCAGCAUAAAUGAAUCCGACUAGGAACCAUGAGGUUGAGGGUUCCUUCCCCAGCCUUGCUUAGUGAGCUGUGGUGUAGGCAGGUUGCAGACGCAGCUUGGAUCUGGCGUUGCUGUGGCUAUGGUGUAGGCCAACAGCAACAGCUCCUAAUAAACCCCUAGCCUGGGAACCUCCAUGUGGUGCGGCCCUGAAAACACAAAAGACAAAAAAAAAAGAUUCAACUAUAAUUUUAAAAGAUCAACUAUGCUUAAAUAACAAAAUAAUUUUUUUAAAAAAGAAUAGAGCUAUGAUGCCCAAACACAGGUAUAAAUACAACCACUUCUCAGGAAGGACUAAAACUGGCAAGUAGAAGGGUGUCACAUUUCAAAAAGAGCAAAAUUAACAGUGGUUCAUAAAACUCAUAAGGAAAGUAGGAAACAAUCAUAAGUUAAAUCGAAAAGAUAUGUUUGAAUUCAUAAUCAUAAAAAUAAAUAUUUUUCAGCACUGUUACUAUCAACAGUAACUCAGCGAAAGUAGCAAUUCUCUCCCACCUUCAAUGUGUACCCAGACUUUGAUCUCUAAUAUUCUUCCCAAAAUUAGAGAGUUGGUGAAUAACUCUUAUCAAUGCUUAAUGGAGGGUAAUUGAUUCCAUAUCUCAGGAAGAACAAACUUAAAAGGUGUUCAGACAUCCACUGUUUCCAAAAGUAAGACUUGCUUCCAAGAACUUCGGAGGAUGAGUAGGACAAUUUAGAGAUCUCUUACUAACCAAGAUAUGUCUAUGUCAGCAAAUAGUAAUAAUUAAUUGAAACAAGUAAUGUAUAACUUAAUGUAUAAAAGGCCAUGAAUAUGUAAAAGACCAGAACCUAUAAUGAUGGUCAAAGGAGAAAAACUAAUGUAAAGAAUACAAAACGUAGUGAUACAAAUCUAGAGUGAAUACAUAUUAUUGAACUUUUAUAGACUUAAAAGUAGGAAAGAAAUAAUACAUAAGCAUAUGACUGUUUAAAAAAUACGUAGAUUUCUCUCUGUAUCAGCAGUAAGUGAACUAACACAUGUGAGCCAACACCACAAAAUAUAGCAUCCAUGCAGGAACAGAAAAAAACAAAUCCACAGGCUUCACUGUUACAGCUAGGAAGAGUGAAAGCCCUAACUUGCUCUGGCAAAAGUGUAUCUUCCAAGAUGGUCAAUUAACCAAAUGUCCUAAAGAGUCAAAAAUAAAAGAUGCAUAAUCACAUCUUCACUUUCCAGAAACAAAACCUCUAAUUGUAAAGAAUUAAUUAUAAGAAUUGUAAUCAGUAACAUAUAUUUUAUAUCCAACAAUACAUCAUGCCAAAAUGCCACACCAUUUGUAAUUAAAUAAAGCACAAAUCAUUUAUUUUAAAAACGUAGGAAUUCUCAAAAAAUCAAAAUCAGUCAAAAAAUGAAAAUAAAAGGGUUCUACUAAUAACAAGUGGCAUUUUUUUGAUGAAAGUUUUGCAAACCAUACUUCCACUUCUAGGCUGGGUAUAGGUCAUAUCAGGGCAACACUCCUAACAACAAAGAAUAAAAAACUAGAUAAAUUAUAGGAAACUAUAUGAAACUAUAGAGACAAUAAGGAUAAGAGGGGUUAAAAUUUCACCUAGAAGAGAACUAGUUAAAGGUAAAUUAAGGAUUGUGACAGGUAUUUUUCCCCCCGGGAGCAUUUGCUAAUUCAGAGCACUGAGUCUCUAAGUUUAGUCUAAACAGAGACGUUACUGGGAUAAAAGAAAUUAACAUCAUUUUUAGCAGUUACACUGGGCUAGAGUGAAAUAUUGGAGAAUUAAGGAGCCCCAAAUGCAUCUCAAUAAUAUUUGUUGAAUUAUGAGAUUUAUGGGGAAAGCUAAAAAGUAAAGCCAAAAAUCUUCUAAAAGGCAGAGUGAAAUCCUGCAGUGCUUAAGAAAUGAAAAACCUCAAGGAGCAGGGAGAUUGCAAACAAAACAGGCAAGAGAUGAAAACCCUAGAGGGAGUGGUAAAUUGACCAUGAGCUCCACAGCCACUUUUCAUAUAGGGGCCAUUAUCAAUUCUGGGCUCACCUAGAAGCUGAAAACCUAGGUUUGGCCCUUGACUAACAGCCACUGUUGGAAAAAGAGAAACCUCAGAGGAUUUGGUAUUUCUGUAGAGCUAGAGUGAUUUAAUUGGACAUUUGGGGGUCCAGAAACUCAUAGUCAAUCUCUCCCUUAAGAUAUUUGCAAAAUUUUGAAGCUACAUGGGGCAGGAAGCUAAAGAGUUAAGCUGAAAAUUGAAUUUCCCACAGUCCCUCAGGGCUAAUAAAACAAAGCUUUCUCAGGUACUCAGCUGAAUGCCAUGAUAAAAAUCUGGGUGAGCAAGCAGUAUAUGGAAUCUUACCAAAACUGUUACCCAGGCCAGUCUCAGAGAAAACACUGAAUGGAUUGAAUUCAUCAGCCCUCUGCCUUGUGACCUAAUAAAGAAAAGAGGAAUCAUCUCUAGUGGAAUAUUACACCACACAGAGCCUUUUUGGUUCUAUCAUGCAUAAUAUUCACAACAUCGUUGGCGGUGUAAUAAAAAAAUAUAUAUUUUAUUUUUGCACGAAUGACCCAUUCUAGUACCAAGCUCUUAAAAUACUUGGAACUUCUGAAGUGAUAGGAGCAAGUUUUGAGCCACUUUUGAGCAUGAAUUUAUGCAUUCAUUUAUGCUAAUGAAACAACUCAAGAUAUAGCCCCUAGAUAGCUUCAGGCUGGGGGCUAAUCACCAGAGGAACCAAUCAUGUGAUUAGAAUGUUGGAAAUUUUAGCCCCAUACCCUGACCUCCAAGGAAGGGACUGAAGUAGGAAGUUGAGUUCAGUCAACAAUGGCCAAUGAUUUAAUUAAUCAUGCCUACAUAACAAA
This 5778-nucleotide long non-coding RNA is filed under the name Sus scrofa (pig). RNAcentral describes it as "lncRNA (ENSSSCG00030035003.1)". Lineage: Eukaryota; Metazoa; Chordata; Mammalia; Artiodactyla; Suidae. The record is from RNAcentral.